UACGUAGGGGGCAAGCGUUGUCCGGAUUUAUUGGGCUUAAAGAGCGUGUAGGCGGUUCGGUAGGUCCGUUGUGAAAACUCGAGGCUCAACCUCGAGACGCCGAUGGAAACCAUCGAACUAGAGUCCGGAAGAGGAGAGUGGAAUUCCUGGUGUAGCGGUGAAAUGCGCAGAUAUCAGGAAGAACACCCGUGGCUAAGGCGGCUCUCUAGUACGGUACUGACGCUGAGACGCGAAAGCGUGGGGAGAGAACAGG
This 253-nucleotide ribosomal RNA is filed under the name uncultured bacterium. RNAcentral describes it as "partial 16S ribosomal RNA". It matches the Rfam family "Bacterial small subunit ribosomal RNA", at positions 524 to 776 of the family's 1533-position model. The record is from RNAcentral.